UACGAAGGGAGCGAGCGUUGUUCGGAAUCACUGGGCUUAAAGCGUGCGUAGGCGGAUCUGUAAGUCAGACGUGAAAUCCCGGGGCUUAACCCCGGAACUGCUUUUGAGACUGCAAAUCUGGAAUCCGGUAGAGGUUAGUGGAAUACCCAGUGUAGAGGUGAAAUUCGCAGAUAUUGGGUGGAACACCAGUGGCGAAGGCGACUAACUGGACCGGUAUUGACGCUGAGGCACGAAAGCGUGGGUAGCAAACAGG
RNAcentral lists this ribosomal RNA (253 nucleotides) under uncultured bacterium. Its description in RNAcentral is "partial 16S ribosomal RNA". It matches the Rfam family "Bacterial small subunit ribosomal RNA", at positions 524 to 776 of the family's 1533-position model. The record is from RNAcentral.